AUAAUAAAAAUGGCGUAAAGACUGACAGUGGCACCCAAUGGUCCACUUUGUGCAUAAAAUCAUCAUAUUUUAGCGCGAGGGAAAUAGAGCGUUACCCACGCCAACAAUUUCCCCAUUUUGUACAGGCAUGGCCCCUAAACCUUUCUUACUAAACAAGCUUUAGGGCACUUUUAUCUAAUGAUAGUUAAUAUAUUAACCGAUCGACUCGUCACCAAUUGGAAGAAGAUGGUUAGCAAGAUCAAGGGCCAAGCUCUCAUGGGAAUCUACGGCAAAAACAAUGGGGUAGAGAAAUUCCACAAAUUCUAGAAUACAGGAGCUACCUGUGAGCAGCGAGAAGACAGUCAUUCCUCAUCAAGUGAUUCAAAUUCAAGGAGUUCUUCUGGGAGUGAUUCGGACGUCAAUAAUGCAUAUUCAUGAGGUUGCAUUGAAUUAAUUGAAAUGGCCUCCCAAGAGUGGAAUCAAGUGGAGAGGUGGAUCAUAAAGUUUGUGCUAUAUAAUUGUCUUCGAUAAAUUUCAUUUGUACUUUUUGGUAUGAGCUGAAUUACGAAGAAGCUCUUUCGAUACAGGGGAUGGGUGUUAAAAUCGGUGAAGUGUGAUAUUGGCAUGAAUGAUACAGCUUGCAUGAUGAUUUGUUGGCAUGAAAGCCUCUUUUUGCAGUGUCAGCAUGGACUUGUUAGUUAUUUCUCUUUUGCAUUCUUUUUUUUUUUUCCUUUUUUUGUUAUUGAUUUUACCUUGUAAAUUAUCAAUGGAUCUAAAUCUAAAAUAAUCAUUACAGAAUCGAAGUGACUUCUUUUGGGACUAUUAUUUUCUCAUCUAAAUCAAUGUAUACUUGAAGAGGAAUAUAGGGAUCAUCAUUUUUCUUAUGUUAUCUGCCCUUUGGUUGAGAAGGAUCGCCAUUUAAAUUUUGCAAGCACUUCUUUUGUAAGCACUUCUUAGGUGCUGAUUAUUGUAACCUUUCGAUGUUAAAGAAUUGGAAGUAGCAUCAAAAGUCCUUGCUAAUUCUAGCCAUGAAAAGGACACUCAAUGGGGGAAAAAUGUGAUUUCCCUGAUCUCUGGGUGCCUUUGUGUGUGUGUGUGUGUAUUUGUAGAUGUGGAAUAACUAACUUCUAAUCUUGAAACUAUAUAAUUAUGAAUUUGCAAAUGGGGCUGAUAUACGGGUGCCCAGUGGAAGACAUGGUAACUGGCUUGACCAUCCAAUGCAGGGGUUGGAAAUCACUCUAUUAUAAUCCAGAUAGGAAGGCCUUCUUGGGUGUUGCCCCAACAACCUUAGAUAUAGCUCUUAUUCAACACAAGAGGUGGUCCGAAGGCAUGUUUCAGAUAUUCUUCUCCAAGUAUUGCCCCUUCAUAUAUGGACGUGGGUAGAUAAAAUUGGGCGCCCAGAUUGGAUAUUGCAUCUAUCUUUUGUGGGCUCCAAUUUCCUUACCAGCGCCCUGUUAUGUGAUUGUUCCUCCUCUCUACAGCUCCCUAUUAUGUGAUUGUUCCUCCUCUCUGCGUGCUCCUUGACAUUCCCUUAUUCCCCCAUGUUUAUCUCUCUUUACCUUUCUAUUCUUAUGCUAGAGAUAUAUGUAUACUAUGUUUUUGAACUGCAUGUUAAAGAAACAAGCUAGAGUUAAUCAAUUUUAGAGAUAUUUGUGCUAUAUAUGCAUCUCCAUUAAUGCCACUCAUAUUGAUGUAGUACUGCCUUCUGCAUGCACACAUACUGACUCUUCUUUGUUAUUCCAGGUUAAAAGCCUAUGGUUCUUGCCUUUUGCAUAUGUUUUUCUAGCUAGGAAUACAUGCAGCAUCGCUAAGGCCCUGUGCUCUGGGGGUACACUCAAAGCUUGGUGGAACUCUCAACAAAUUUGGGUGAUCUGAAGGACUACUACAUUCUUUUUUAUGCAUUAAUUAAUUUUUUUAAUUAAAAACCUUGUCUCAACCAACUAAGCAAACGUGCUUUGCACGUUGCUCCUACCUAGUGUAGUUAAUAUGUGUCAAAAAACCUCCUCAUUAAAUUAGGCAAAUUCAAAACAAAUUUACAUGUUUAUUCACGAAAUAUGAAAAACUACACUAACUUAGACAAAUAUUAAAAUAAUAUUUUUUUACUCCAGGCAAAUGCGCAGGAACCCUUUUGCUAGUGAAAUCGUUCUAGUUUCUUUUAUCCGUUCCCCCCUUUACUCCCGUAACUCUCUCUCUCUCUCUCUCUCUCUCUCUCUCUCUCUCUCUCUCUCUCUCUCUCUCUCUCUCUCUCUCUCUCUCUCGAUUCACUCGAGCACCACAACUGAGCCCCUCCACUCUCACUCCCAACAAGCCCCACGACCAAUUGAGUCCCCUCCUAGCACCAUUGAGCCCUCCCACCAUGCCCACCACAAUUGAGCCUCUUCCCAACAUUAUCCCCUUCCGCAACAUUCACCUCACCCACCACGACUGAGCCCCUUCCUGUAACAUUCAUCGAUCAACAUUCACCACACCCCCUCCAACGACAUGUGAAGCCACCAUGAAGUGUCUCCUCCUUGACAAUAACCACAAGAACCCUCGACGACAGCGUCUGUUGUUAAUUUUUGUGGUUUAUCUCUUCUCCUAAGUCUCAUAAUUUCAACCAUUGUUUGCUCUUAUUGUUGUGAUUUGUAAAAUUUCUCUUAGCAUGGUUAUUGUUGUCAUCCAAAGGAAGUUUUUCUUUACUAUUGAGCAUGAUUUUUUAUUUUUGUGAUUUGAUGGAGAUUUCUUAAUUAAUCUCUUACUAUUGAGCAUGGUUAUUGUUGAAUUUUUUGUUUGAAAAAAUAAUUCUUUGAAAGAAAGCAAUUAAAGAUCAAAAAAUAGUUAUCUUUUGUAUUAAAUAGUUUGGUUGUGCAGCCCUGUCUAUGACCAUAUUAUUAAUUUCAUGUUUUAUCAACUAAUCACAUGUUCCUCUUGAUGGAUACGGAAUGCACUCAUUAAUUUGGUCACAAGUUAUGUGAUUCUUCUCAUGUGUCACAAGUUGUGUAAGGUUGAAUCUAAAGUUUUAUAAAUGACGUAAAUUAUGAACAGCAAUGUACAUGACUCAUUCUAGUUAUAAUCUAAAGGGUUGAGCUUUUUCCACAAUGCAUUAAGUUGGGAAAACUUUUGGGGUCAUGAGAUGAUCUUAUUGCCAUUGGCAACUGGUGAAAGUUGUGGGGUCAUGUAGGGGUCAUGGAUGGAUUGGGAAGGAUAUAAGAGGUAUAGUCUAGAGUAUAGGCAAUUGUUCCAACAAGAGUAGCAUAGCGGCCUGCAAUACUUAUAUUUUUCAAGUAUGUUUGUCCACUGUAUAGGAACCUUACAUGUGCCUACACCUUGAUAUGUGACUAAUUCUACUUUUGUGCCUACACCUUGAUACGUGCCUGCACAUGAUUUUUGUGUUAUCUUUUGUUAUGUUUCAUGUAGUUCUGGAACUGUUGUCAUGUUUUUAUCUUUUCUGCUUUGUUGCUUUAUGAUUCUAUUAUUCAUGCUUUUGAAAGUAAUGUCUUUCAUGGGGUUUGUGACUUUGUUGCAUGGUUACUAUUUUAUGAAGGAUGGAUUCACAAAUAAUGGACGAUACCUUUUUCACCACACUCUUGCAAAAUGGUGAAGAAGGUAUUAACAACCCCCCCUAACCCGGGCUAGUGUCUUGCAGGAUAAUGUUGAGAUCAAGGUUGAAGUAACACAACCCGAAGGGAAAGUAAGGGCAUGAACUAAAAAAUCCCAACAAGGUGUAUCCUUUUUCGUGAAGGAAGACAACGUCCUUGUAUCAGGCUGGCUCGACAUUAGCAUAGACACUAUCAAGGGGGCUGACUAAAAGUCCACCCAAUUGUGGAUAAGAAUUCAUAAUUAAUUCAAUACUUUUUAAAAACCUAAUUGGCCUAAACGUUCUGUGGACCCCGUUGACUAAUCGAUAGUCAACCAUCCAAAAAACCAUAAACAAGUUUUGUGGUUGCUUGGCCCAAGUUAAAUCAGUGCAUCCAAGCGGUACCAAUGAACAAGACAAUGUAUGUUUCUAAUUAUUAUAAAUUUUCAUUGAAAUAUGUAUUAAUAUUUUUAUAAUUGUUGUUUAGAAGGAGAAGACAAAAGUAGUGUACUGAUCGACACAAAAAGCCACCUAUAAUUUGGACCAUUGUUGGAACCUAUUAAGGCACCAACCAAAGUGACAAGUGUAUAUAAAUCAUUUUUCAACAAAGAAAAAGGGAGGCUAUAAGAAAAUUAAUAGUUAGAAAACUAUUAAAGUUUGUCUCAUUUAGUUUAUCUUAUUUAUCUUAUUAAAGUCUGCAUACUUUAUGUUGUGCCAACAUUUAUGGAUGGUUUUGUUUUUGCAGGUACUACCCAGAUGACCCUAAGUGGCAAGUUGACAUUGCUGAAGCUCUUUAUUUAUUGUGUUUUGUGCUGCUGUUAUGUGUUGUUGGAAGUACAGAUUUAUGUGGAUGGUUUUUUUGUAACUUAGUAUGACAUAUCUGUGUUUUUUUGGUUUAGCAUAGAAGAUGUGUAUUAUACGUAUUGGGUUGUAAUAUUGGGGUUUCAUUUUGUGCUGCUGGUUUGUGUCAUUGACAUGAACACAAAUAUGUUGCUAGUCAUGAUAAUUUCUUGUUGGAAGUGCAUAUUUAUGUAGCUGUUUUUUGUAA
Carya illinoinensis is the source of this 4583-nucleotide long non-coding RNA. RefSeq lists it as uncharacterized. The record is from RefSeq and is a predicted model, not a curated record. NCBI's taxonomy places the organism in Eukaryota, Viridiplantae, Streptophyta, Magnoliopsida, Fagales, Juglandaceae. The transcript has 3 exons.